UUGGAGGGCAAGUCUGGUGCCAGCAGCCGCGGUAAUUCCAGCUCCAAUAGCGUAUAUUAAAGUUGUUGCAGUUAAAAAGCUCGUAGUUGAAUUUCGGAGUUUGUCGGUUGGUCGGGCUUCAUUGUCCGCACUGGCCUGAUGGAUUCCUACCUUCUGAAUAACCAGCAUGCUAUUAAGUUAGUGCGUUGGGGAAGCAGAGCUAUUACCUUGAAAAAAUUAGAGUGCUUAAAGCAGGCUUAUGCUUGAAUAGAUUAGCAUGGAAUAAUAAAAUAGGACGGCAUGGUUCUAUUUUGUUGGUUUCUAGGAUCACCGUAAUGAUUAAUAGGGAUAGUUGGGGGCAUUAGUAUUCAAUUGUCAGAGGUGAAAUUCUUGGAUUUAUUGAAGACUAACUUCUGCGAAAGCAUUUGCCAAGGAUGUUUUCAUUAAUCAAGAACGAAAGUUAGGGGAUCGAAGACGAUCAGAUACCGUCGUAGUCUUAACCAUAAACUAUGCCGACUAGGGAUCGGACGAUGUUAAUUUUUAAUGACUCGUUCGGCGCCUUACGGAAAC
Molecule: ribosomal RNA, 549 nt
Filed under: uncultured Glomeromycotina
Lineage: Eukaryota; Fungi; Glomeromycota
Description: SSU rRNA
Rfam family: Eukaryotic small subunit ribosomal RNA
Source: RNAcentral